Molecule: non-coding RNA, 15592 nt
Organism: Oryctolagus cuniculus (rabbit)
Lineage: Eukaryota; Metazoa; Chordata; Mammalia; Lagomorpha; Leporidae
Source: RefSeq, a predicted model, not a curated record
CUGACUGCAGGUAUGAUCCACACUUUGAAACACCACGGGUUGCCACGCCAGGCUUGUGGCCAUUUAUUUAGUCAUGUUUUGGUCAACCACCUGUUUCUUUUUUUUUUUUAAGUCGUAACUUCAUUAGUGAAGGAGUUCAUUUGAGCUUGUUUGUACAUUGGACAUUUGGUUAAAAGGACAACCUCUCCCCAAUAAAGCAAAACCUACACUUUGAGAUUAAUGCUGAAAGAUGACGAAUGUAGAGAGAAUAAGAGAGAUUCCAUCCAUUGGUUCACUCCCCCAGAUGCCUGCAACAGCUGGGGCUGGACCAGACUGAAGUUAGGAGCCAGGAACUCCAUCUGGGUCUCCCAUAGGGGUGCAGGAACCCCAGUACUUGGGCCAUCAUCUACUGCCUCCCAGGCAUGUUAGCAGGAAGCUGGAUCAGAGCAGAGUCUGGUUGCCUCUCUCCCUAUCCACCGCCUUUCAGCUGUGCUGCCGUCUCGAAACCCUUCCAGGACAGAUGCACCUGCACCAGGUGUGGGUGGCCCGGGGUCCGGGUGAUCCCUGAGAGUCAGAGCAGAAGUGGUCACAAGCCAGGGCUUGAGGUCUGGAUGAAGCUGGAAAUGCGAGCUCCCCGGUGGCCUCAUCAAGGUGAGACUGAGCUGAGAUGUGCUCAGGGAGAAAGAGAACGGAGACAACACCCGGUGAGGUCACUGUUGGCAGAUCCAGGCAAACAUGCUCUCAACUCCUUGGGUAUACAAAACCAGUGCAACCUACUCUCAUUGACACUGUAGCCACUGGAACAAGCAGUGUCCAGGAAUUUUCAUGUCUUGGGCGAGUCCAGGAUUUACAAAGAAGCUUGGCAACCAAUUCUGUGUCACAAGAUUCCCUCGUCUCAUGUUUCUGGUAAACAUUUGGACAUUGUGUUGAAUUUUCUCGAAUUUCUUCCAUCUGGAAAAGUAGAGCAUUUUACGAGACAACCGCAACCACCUUGUCUACCUUCAAACGCUGAACGUCGGACUGCUGCUCACAGGAAAAAAGCAUAGCACAUCCAUCCACACAAGUGAAGGUAGCUGCCUCACCCACGUGGUACAGGUCGGGAAAUUGAGAUGCAGGUGGACAAAACUACCUUCUUGGAUAGCAAGGUAGUCGUGGGAGAAUCUGGACUCCAUCUCAAGUUUCCUGCCGUGGCUACGCUUCUGCCACUGCUGGGCUGCUGCUCCCUUCGAUGGUGGCUGCGAGGACCAGGCAUGGCAAUGUCCACGAGUGAGCUUGGGAAACAGGAAUAUCACUGAUCUCGAUCAUCAUGGAUGUGCCGUGUCACCACCCUGACGUCAUGUGACGUUAACCCUAUGGUCCCUGGGAACCUGCCGUUGAUGAGAUGAGUAACUCAUUCACUUUUUCCCCUUUGCUUAUGCCGCAGACUUCCUGAAGGCACACACAGGACUGGUGAUGCCGUCAAGAGUGUUUUGGGAGAUAAACUGUGAGGAUGGAGCUGAAUUUAGAAAAUAAAGGUGAUUGGAAGAGUGACGUUAAAGUGUCUGGUCCAGGGGCCAGCUUUGGGAUGGAGUGGGUUAAGUCACUUGCCUGCAACAGUGCCGGUGCCCAUAUCACACUGCUAGUUCCAGACGCAGCUGCUCUGCUUCCCAUCUAGCUUCCUGCUAAUAAGCCUGGGAAGGCAGCAGAGGAUACAGAUGAACAAUUAGUCAAGGAGGCACCAAGGGCAAGAUCUAGAAGGGUCCUGGGCACAGGAGCUUCUGUCCUGGUGGAGUUGGGGAGCACCCUCCACCCCAAACACACCAGGACACGGUGCACUUGACAACUCCAAAGCUCUCCAAACCUUGUGUGUCGAGAGUUUCUACAGAGCCUGACCUCCAGCCCUGGCCCGGCCCCUGAUCGGAGGUUGGUAGAGGGAGGCAGACUGUCAGAUCCUUUAGGCACUUGCUGGUCUUUGUCCCCAUCUGGAGGCUGUCCAGGCGCCCCACCUUGAUCACCUCGUUAGCAUAGACUUUGGGCAUUGUAAAUAUCAAAAGUCACUCCUGUCACUCAGGAAGUUCCCAGGGUUUGAGGAGACAGACCAACUAUUUCUUAUCAUCCAUAUCAGUGUGCCUGGAUCAAGUGUACUCGCAGCUUCCUGCUAAUGUGUACUCGCAGCUUCCUGCUAAUGUGCGCCCUGGGAGGCAGCAGAUGAUGGCUCACGUCCUGGGUCCCAGGAAGAAGUUCCCAGCUCUUGGCUUCCAGACCUGGCACAGCCUUGGCUCAGCCCUGGCCGCUGCAGCCAUCUGCGGAGUGAACCAGUGGAUAGAAGGUCGUGCUCUCUGUCUCUCCUCCUCCGUUCUUUCUGUUGCUUUGCAUUUCAAAUAAAUAACUAUGAAAAAAAAAAAGAAAUUUGUCUUUAGAUUGGUCAUAUCAAGGUGUCUGUGAUAAUGUUAUUUUCAGUGCAAACUGACAUUGUACUGACAUGUACCCUGGGACCUGGAGCAUUUUCUCCCAGAUAAAAAAGCAUGUCAGAGUACAGGUGACUUCCAGUAAUGCAUUUUUUUUUUUUUUGACAGGCAGAGUGGACAGUGAGAGAGAGACAGAGAGAAAGGUCUUCCUUUUGCUAUUGGUUCACCCUCUAAUGGCCACCGUGGCUAGCAUGUUGAGGCUGGCGCGCCGCGCUGAUCUGAAGCCAGGAGCCAGGUGCUUCUCCUGGUCUCCCAUGCGGGUGCAGGGCCCAAGGACUUGGGCCAUCCUCCACUGCACUCCCGGGCCACAGCAGAGAGCUGGACUGGAAGAGGGCAACCGGGACUAGAACCGGCAUCCAUAUGGGAUGCCGUCACCGCAGGUGGAGGAUUAACCAAGUGAGCCCCUCCAAUAAUUCAUUAAUACAUAUAUACAGUGUGUGCCAUCAUCACAUAUAUAAAUGCACAUGUGUGUGUAUUGGUCUGUCCAUCUUAAAAAAUUUAUUUAUUUGAAAGUCAGAGUUACACAGAGAGAAGGAAAGGCAGAGAGAGAGAGAGAGAGAGAUCGAUCGAUUGAUUGAUUGAUCUUCCAUCUGCUGGUUCAAUCCCCAAAUGGCUGCAACAGCCAGAGCUGGGCUGAUCUGAAGCCAGGAGCCAGGGGCUUCUCUGGGUCUCCCACAUGGGUGCAAGGGCACAAGGACUUGGGCCAUCUUCUACUGCUUUCCCAGGCCAUAGCAGAGAGCUCGAUCGGAAGUGGAGCAGCUGGGACUUGAACCGGCACCCAUAUGGGAUGCCUGCACUGCAGGUGGAGGCUUUACCCACUCCGCCACAGUGCAGGCCCAGAUCCUAUUUUCAAUGAGCUGUUCAAAGUGCCACUCUUGGGUUCAAAACGUGUUUACUGGGAUGCUCUCUCCCCUGUCUUGACUCGGGGUACUGGGGUGCUGCUUCCUGGAGGAGCAUCCCUCACAUCCUUCCUAGCCCUCCCUGUUUCCUCUGUGGGCCGGCAGCCAACACCAAGACUGUGCGUGAAUGAUGAGCGUGGUGAUUUCAUAGCAUCCUGGGCACUGCACGACCCUGAGGUGGGCACUGGGGCUCUGCUCGGGUCCUUCUCGUCUUUCCGGUCCUCCUGCCCUGGACGGGGUGAAGGAGAUCCUUUGCAAGAAGCAUGUUCUCAUGGGAAGGUCAUGACCACUGGAAAGCUCAGCUUCAGUUUCUGAAACAGUAAAUUAAUUGGUUAACCACAAGCCAGUGAAGAAAUGUUUCAGUUUAAAGCUGCUCAACCUAUUCAAAGCAGAACUGGCCCUGAGUAUUUUUUUCUGUAACCACAGAAUUGUUACAUCAAAGGUUUUCAACUCAGACCUACACUUAUAUUUGAUUUGAGCUCUUGACAUCAACUGUCAUAGUUGAAAUACUUUUUGUAACAUUCUACACACUUAGCACUGAUGCUAAUUUGGUAGAUAACAGAAUUAUUUCAAGAUCUUAGAAAUGGCUGCCAGUGUUUAUAAAUAUCAUUGCAAAUACACUGUCUUUAUGGUAUAGGUUGAUAAACCCCAUUGUGGACUGGAUUCACCGAGAACUGGGGCAGGGACUUGGUGCAACCAUUUUUCUGGUGGACUGUGUACUUGCUUAGGCCAAGAGUCAUAAUCCAUUCAACUUUUGUGCUUGGCGAAGUACUGAGAGUACUGCCUAGGGGCUGGUGUUGUGGCAUAGUGGGUAAAGCUGCCACCUGUGAUGCUGGUAUCCCAUAUGGGGGCUGCUGGUUUGUGUUCUGGCUGCUCCGUUUCUGAUCCAGCUCCCUGAUGAUGGCUUGGGAAAGCAGCGAAGAUGGCCCAAGUGCUUGGGCCCCUGCACCCACUUGGGAGACCCGGAAGAAGCUCCUGGCUCCUGGCUUUGGCUUGGCCCAGCCCUGGCUGUUGUGGCCAUCUGGGGAGUGAACCAGCAGAUGGGAGAUCUCUCUGUCUCUUGCUCUUUCUGUGUAGCUCUGACUUUCAAACAAAUAGAUAUAUCUUAAACAAACAAACUUCCUACACUUAGUAGGUACUCACUCAGUAGGUGUUUGCUGAAUGAAUGCAUAGAGAGGUCAUUCUCCCUAUACUCAAACACCUGAGUGCAGGAGCUGUAUGUUCCAACUAGACAGUGGACUGUCUGAAGGUUUGUCCUGCAAUCUACCAUGGUCUCCCCAUUGUGUCCAUGAACCUUGGAGCCAAUUCUGAUCCCUUUUAAAUGACGUGAUCCUCAGUCCCUGAAGACAUCUAAGUGUUAAGAAUUUUCUGGGGGCCAGCACUGUGGUGUAGCAGGUAAAGCUACUGCCUGUAGUAUCAGUGGCCCAUAUGGGCAUGGGUUCAAGUCCUGGCUGCUUCACUUCUGUUCCAGCUUUCUGCUAAUGGUCUGGGAAAGCAGCAGAGGAUAAACCAAGUGCUUAGGCCCCUGUUCCCACAUGGGAGACCUGGAAGAAGCUCCUGGCUCCUGGCUUCAGAUUAGCUCAGCUCUGGCUGUUGUGGCCAUUUGGAGAGUGAACCAGUGGAUGGAAGAUCGAUCUCUCUUUCUCUCUGCCUCUGCCUUUCUGUAAUUCUGCCCUUCAAAUAAAUAGAUAAAUCUUUAAAAAAAUUUUUCUGGGGGCCGGUGUUAUGGUACAGUGGGUAAAGCCACAGCCUGCAAUGCUGACAUCCCCUACGGGUACCGGCUAGUGUCUCAGCUGCUCUGCUUCCAAUCCAGCUUCCUACUGGUGGCCUGGGAAGAGCAGCAGAAGAUGACCCAAGUACUUGGGACCCUGCCAUCCAUAUGGAAGACCAGGAAGAAGCUCCUGGCUUCAGCUUGCCUAGAGCUGGCUGGGGAGUGAAUCAGCAGAUGGAAGAUCUCUCUCUCUCUUUCUGUCUCUUUCCCUUUUUCUCUGUAACUCUGACUUCCAAAUAAAAAAAAACUUAAAAAAUUUUCUGAAAUGUAGGUUGUCUGGAUUAGAACUUGACUUUCAGGCACAUAGCAAAGUCAUCAUUUAUCUACUACAACUUUAACAGUUGUUGGGAAACAAGUAGUUUUCAACAAUCCAGGUUAUUUUUUCCUUAUUAAUUUGAAAGGCAGAGCAACAGAGAGGGAGAGAUCUUCCAUCCGCCGAUUCACUCCCUAAAAUGGCUGCAAUGGCCUGGGCUGGGCCAGGCUGAAGCCAGGAGCCUGGAGCUCCAUCCUGGUCUCCCACGUGGGUGACAGAGAACCAAGUACUUGGACCACGUUCUGCUGCUUUUCCAGGCACAACAGCAGGGUGUUGGGUUGGAACUGGAGCAGCCUCCACUGCCCCAGCGCUCAUGCACGAUGCCAGUGUUGCAGGUGGUGGCACCCCCACCCCCACCCCCCACCAUUUCCUUUUCUCUUCCAAGAGCGGGAGCCGUGAGAGCUCCGGGGAUGGCCUGGUCCCUUCCUUCCUGCUCUGAGAAUGGCACGUCCCGGUGGCCUGGGCACCCAGCCCAGCCCAGCCUGGUGCUCUCAGCUCUGCUGCAGGAGCCUUCUCUGAACAGAAGCAGAACACAGGCGUCGGAGCAUCAGCGAGAGAGCACCAGCCAUCACACUGAGCCGGCCUCUGCCCUGCUGGCUGCUCCGAAAUGAGCCUCGAACGUCCCUUACUCCCAUUAGUGGCUUGUUUUAAAACCUAUUCGCGAGGAGAUGCCUUUGUUCCCCUCUUUCUCUGGGCUUCCUGGCCCUGCAUUACUGUGAUACAGGCUUACAUUUUCUGAAGUGUGUGUGCGGGGGAAGCCAGGCACUGCACAUUAAGAGGCCCGGCCUGCUACGGCUAAGUAACCCCAUGGAAGUAUCCUUGUUGUGCAGCGCGUGCGUUCGCAGGACCAUUUUAGUUAUUGCUGUAAUUAGUUCUGAUUCACGUAUUCCACGGAGGACGAGGUUUCCGGAUAGAUUGAAAGUGGCCAGAUGCAGAUGGGCAGAGGGGAUGUGGAUGCAAAUGGCAGGCAGAGCCUGAAGGAGCGAUGAGAGAUGUUUCUAGCUGCCUCAAUUUGUGGCAUUUCUGAUUUUUAUAUGGACAUUAAACUUGGCCAAGCUAAAGUGCCAUUUGCCCUGAGAGAGGAUAAUGUACACUUAUCCCUAUGCUUUCUAAAAAAAAAAAAAAAAUAGACCGAAGCUGCAAGGGGCAUAGAUGUGCAGAGGUACACAGUACUGUCUGCAUUGUAGGGCCCAUGGACGGGGAAAGAAGAGGCCUAUUUGCCUGCCUAGUUAGUUCUAGGCGGAAUUCGUUCCACCCUUGGCUGAAGAUUUUGGAUCUGGGAGAGACUCAAGAGCUUAGUCUUUCUUAAAUCGCAUGAAUGCCAAUUGAUACAGAUGAGUCAGCAGAAUAUUUACUGUGGGUCAGGGGCUCUGCAAGGCAUUAAGAAUGUAGAGAUAAAUCAGACAGAGUGCCCCCUCCCUCUGGGAUCUCACAGUCUAGAGGAGACGGGACGAAAAGGCCCCCUGUGGCAUUUGGCGUACGUCCCGUGGAGUUCAGAGGGACACUGUGCUGCCUGGGGCAGGGUUCUGGGAGGUUAGGAGAGGUGUCGGAGUUAAUGGCCUCUUGAGUUGACGCUUGAAUGAUGCCAGAGACGCUCUAGGCCAAGGGGACGCAAGGCGCAGGCAGUAUUCCCGGGAGCCGGACUCUGGGGUUCAAAGGGCUGCUGAUGUCCGAAGGCACUUGGCUAGGGCUUGAGGGAGUGAGCAGCAGCUGGGACUGAGAAAGGAGGUGAAAACUAGAUAUUGAAGGACAUGACAUUAAAUUAGGGAGUUUGGGGACUGGGACUGGCAUGGUAGUGCAGCGGGUUAAGCCGCCAUGUAUGACACCAGUAUCCCAUAUCUGAGCGCUGGUUUGAGUGCUGGGCUGCUCUGCGUCUGACCUAGCUCCCUAAAGUAGGGGAAGAUGGCCCGAGUGCUUGGGCCCCUGCUCCUUUAUGUUGGAGACCUGGAUGGAGAUCUGAGUUCCUGGCUUCCAUCCAAUCCCGACCAUUGAGGCCGUUUGGGGAAACCAGUGGAUGAAUGAUCUUUCUCUUUCUCUCUCUGUAUUCCCCCUCCGAUCUCUCUCUCUCUCUCUCUCUCUCUCUCUCUCUGUAUUCCCCCUCCCGAUCUCUCUCUCUCUCUCUGUAACCCCCCUCCCCACCCCCGUCACUGUGCCUUUCAAGUAAAUAAAUAGACUUUAAGGAGAAGCAUGGGGGAGGGUGCCGUGGCACAGUGGGCUAAGCCUCUGCCUGAAGCGCCAGCAUCCCAUGUGGACUCCAGUUCUGGUCCAGCUGCUCCUCUUCCAGUCCAGCUCUCUGUUAUGGCCUGGGAAAGCAGUAGAAGAUGGCCCAAGUGCUUGGGCCCCUGCACCUGCGUGGGAGACCUGGAAGAAGCUCCUGGCUUCGGAUGGGCCCAGCUCCAGCCAUUGUGGCCAUCUGGGGAGUGACCCAGCCACAGAAAUGGAAUCCUGCAGUGUGUAGCUUUUCAUGUUGUUUGGAUGGCACCUGUGUCUGCAUUUUGAUCAGUUUGUUUUUUUUUUUUUUUAAGAUUUCUUUUUAUUUAUUUGAAAGAGUUACAGAGAGAGGUAGAGACAGAGAGAGAGGUCUUCCAUCCACUGGUUCACUCCCCAGAUGGCCACAACGGCCAGAGCUGCACCGAUCCAAAGCCAGGAGCCAGGAGCUUCUUCCAGGUCUCCCACGUGGGUGAAGGGUUCAAGGACUUGAGCCAUCUUCUACUGCUAUCCCAGGCCACAGCAGAGAGUUGGAUUGGAAGUGAAGCAGCCGGGACUAGAACCAGCGCCCAUAUGGGAUGGCGGUGCUUCAGGCCAGGGCUUUUACCCGCUGCACCGCAGCGCCGGCCCGUUUGUUACUUUUUAUUACUAGAGAGUAUUCCUCUUCUUCACACAUAUCACAGUGUGUUUGUUCUCUAGUUAAUAGACAUUUGGGUUGUUUCCGGUUUUUAGCUGUUAGGAACAAAGCUGUGUUCAUUCAUAGAAUUCUCUGGGUGUUCACAUUUACUUUAUGUAUUUGGUCUAUGAAUUAACCCAAAUAGUAAUGUAGAAUUUGAUUCUGAGCUGUAAGUACUCCUGGAGCGCCUCCUAUAAGUAAAUGUAAAGUUUCCUGGAGGGACUCACGUCAAUCCAAGCCACACAGGAAUUCUAGAAAUAACAAAGUCAGAGCCACCAAAGUGAAAAUUCACUGGGCAAAUGAAAAAGCAGUUACACUCCCCGGACUUUAAAAAAUGAAAUUAUCAGGUAGAAACAAUAAAGAAUUUUUGAAAAGAUUAAAUUUGUAAAGUAAAUUCUGACAAAUAUAAAAAAGAGGGCCUGGCAUGGUGGUGUUAACUGUUCACACUGAUGUGUGUGACCUCUGGUGAAUACGGGGGUGCCGGUUCAAGUCCUGGCUGCUGCUCCAGCUUCCUGCACAUGUGCCUGGGAAGGCAGCAGAGAGGUGACACGAGUGCUGUGUCCCUGUGUCCCUGCCCUCAUGUGGGAGACCUAGAGAGCGUCCUGCCUCCUGGCUUUGGCCUGGGCCACCUGGCUGUUGUGGCCAUUUGGGGAGUGAAGCAGCAAAUGGAAGAUCUCUCUCUCUCUCUCUCCCCUGCCCUUCAAAUAAAUAAAAAAUGUUCUAGAAGUAGAAUAGGUUACACUGAGAAAAGAACAGAUACAUAAAGAAAAACAGGAAUGAAAAAUAGAGUCAGUGGAAUACAAGACUCAAUGAAUGUGUUAAAGUAAGAGGUUGACCACAGCCAAGGAGAAGUGCAGUGAACUGGAAGAUACUUCUAAGAACGCUGUACAGAAAAUUUUGUAGUAAACACACACACACACACACACACACACACACGUGCGCGCGCGUUGACUAAUGCAAGCCAAGUUCAGGAGCUAGAAGCAUUUAGGACUACAAUUCUGGGCAAGCACAGUGGAUACACUAGGCAGGGUUGUAAAUGGGACGUGUUCACAGAUCUUUGUGCUGUUUGGGGUGGGGGGGCUAGAACUAUGUUUAAGCCAAAUAGAAAUACAGUGACAAUGCCAAUGUUAAAAGGCAGGUGUCGUCUCAUUUCUGCCACGGUAACAGCAGAGCCAAUCCCCCUGUUGUAAGGAAACGCGUGUUCUGAGCACACUGCCGUGUCGGGUAAAGGCCUUGGAGACCUAGCAAGGUAGCAGGGAUAACCGUACCCAUCACACACACACACACACACACACACACACACACACACCCCUCCUUAGAGCUAGGAAAAUGCAGCUCACACGGGGAACAUCGUAAACUGUAUCUGACUGCCUGUGUUCUGGUCCCUGGCUCAGCGCUGGCUCUACAGGCAGCUGGGGAAUGAGCCAGUGAAUGCGAGAGCUCUUUCUGUCCCUGUCCCCCUCUCUAUAUCUGCAUCUCAAGUAAUAAUAAAAAAAUAAAGGCACUCUCUCUCAUAAUCCCGUGCAGUUGUCUGAUUUGGGCACUCUCAUUCCCUCCAUCACGUGCCACUGCUGCGAUGGUUAAUGUGCUCUGUGCUCUGAACUCUUGUGCUGUAAACGUUUCUGAAUUAAUUUCUAAUGAGAUAAAACUCAGAUAAAACUCACACAAGCAGAAGUUCUUUGGAGUCCUAAGUGCUGUUUAAUAAGAGUGUAGAGGCCAGCACCGCGGCUCACUAGGCUAAUCCUCCGCCUUGUCCCCCGGGUUCUAGUCCGGGUCGGGGUGCCGGAUUCUGUCCCGGUUGCCCCUUUUCCAGGCCAGCUCUCUGCUGUGGCCCGGGAGUGCAGUGGAGGAUGGCCCAGGUGCUUGGGCCCUGCACCCCAUGGGAGACCAGGAGAAGCACCUGGCUCCUGCCAUCGGAUCAGCGCGGUGCGCUGGCCAUUGGAAGGUGAACCAACGGUAAAGGAAGUCCUUUCUCUCUGUCUCUCUCUCUCACUGUCCACUCUGCCUGUCAAAAAAAAAAAAAAAAAAAAAAGAGUAUAGAGAUGUCUUCAGUCCAAAGAGUUUACGAGAAGUCCUCUUUCAUGUGCACAGAGAGAAGUGAAAGUGAUGCUCCCUGCAGCAUUGUUUGUGGUUGGGAAAACUUAGGAACUCACUGUCCGUCAGAAGGGAAAAUGAGUAGUCUUGGAUCUCUGAAAAAUGGUGUUGAGGUGUUUUUCAGAGGGAAAGACGUGUGAAAAGGUCAGGUGUAGGAGGAUAGACUAAAAUCCAAGCAAGAAGGAAUCGUAAAGAUGUGAGGAUUUUUUUUUUUUGUUAAAGAUUGAUCUUAUUUGAAAGACAGAGAUAGGAGGGGUUGGGGAGUUGGGGAGACACAGAGAGAGAGAGAGAGAGAGAAAAGGUGGUCUUUUGUCUGCUGGUUUACUCCCCAAAUGGCUGCAAAGGCCAGGGCAGGACCAGGCCAAAGCCAGGAGAUUCUUCUGGGUCUCCCACGUGGGUGCAGGGGCUCAAGCACUUGGGUCAUCUGCUGCUGCUUUCCCAGGUGCAUUCACAGGGAGCUGGAUCGGAAGUGGAGUAACUGGGACUUGAACCAGUGCUCUGUGAUAGGAUGUGGGCAUCCCAAGGAGUGGCUUAGCCUGCUACACUACAACACCAGGCCCCUAAAACAUCAUUGUAAUUAAAAAUAACAUAUGAUUGCUUUAAUAAAAAAUUGGUAGGCAGCACUCCCCUCCGCUCCUGGAACUUCCUUUCUAAGUCUCACAUUGAUUUUUUUUUUAAUAUUUAUUUAUUUGAAAGGCAGAGUUACAGAAAUGCAGAGAGAGAGAGAGAGAGAGGUCUUCUAUCUGCUGGAUCACUCUCCAGAUGGCCACAGUGGCCAGAGCUGGGCCAAUCUGAAGCCAGGAGCCAGGAGCUUCUUCUGGGUCUCCCACGUGGGUGCAGGGGCCCAAGCACUUGGGCCGUCUUCUACUGCUUUCCCAGGUCACAGCAGAGAGCUGGAUAGGAAGUGGAGCAGCCAGGACUCAGACUGGCGCCCAUAUGGGGUGCUGGCAUUGCAGGCGGUGGCUUUACCCGCUACGCCACAGCGCCGGCCCUGUCACCUUGACAUCUUCCUCAGCUCCUGUGGCUGCUCUGAUGCCCACUGCCCAACACUCACUCCCAUUCUGAUCUUGAGUAUGUUCAUGAGGAGUAAUUAAACAUUCCGGAGCACUAGUGCACUGGCUUUUUGACCCCUCCCCCUCCUAUUUUUAGAACCAAACCUGCUUUCAGGAUGCAACUUGGAUUGGCAUUUAGAUGAGUUUGGGGUAAGCAGAUGAUCAAUCACCACUGGGUAAUAGACUUACAUGAUAUUGCUUUGCAAGGUAUACACUCUGAUGUAUGUUAGAUUUAUGGGGAGGGUGGUUGUUUAUGAUACUUUUAAAAUAUUUGUGAUGGCCUAAGGCUUUUUCAGCCAGGCCCCAAAGACAAAGCCAUUAUUUUGCUUAUUUUAUUUUAUUUAUUUAUUUAAACAAUCUAUUGAUCCUUAUACUGAUUAAAUUUGAAUGUUUGGAGUGGCUGCCAGUGGCAGCAGCUCAUGUAAUUUAUUUAUUUAUUUUUAUUUUUUUGACAGGCAGAGUUAGACAGUGAGAGAGAGAAACAGAGAGAAAGGUCUUCCUUUUCCGUUGGUUCACCCCCCAGAUGGCCACUACGGCUGGUGCGUUGCGCCGAUCCGAAGUCAGGAGCCAGGUGCUGCCUCCUGGUCUCCCAUGCAGGUGCAGGGCCCAAGCACUUGGGCCAUCCUCCACUGUACUCCCAGGCCACAGCAGAGAGCUGGACUGGAAGAGGAGCAACCAGGACAAAAUCCGACUCCCCAACAGGGACUAGAACCUGGGGUGCCGCCGCCGCAGGUGGAGGAUUAGCCUAGUGAGCCACGGCUCCGGCCUAUGUAAUUUAUUUUUAUUAUUUAUUUAUUUGAAAUGCAGAGCAACAGAGAGAGAGAGAGAGAAAGAGAGAUUUUUCAUCCACUGGUUCACUCCCCAAAUGGCUGCAAUAUCCAGAGGUGAGCCAGGAGCCCGGAACCCUAUCCUAUGUCCCAUAAGGGGCCCAAGCCCUUGGUCCUUCACCUACUGCCUUCCCAGGCACAUUAGCAGGAAGCUGGAUUGGAAGUGGAGCAGCCAGGGGUGGAACUGGUGCUCCCAGCCUGAGGUGCUGGUGUUCCAGGCUGUGGUUUAACCUGCCGAGCCACAGUACUGACCCUCGUUUAUAUAAUUUAUAAAAAUGAUGCGCACACUCAUCACUGGGCGGCACAGACUUGACUUUACUGUCAGUUUUGUUACUGAAGACUUGGCUUUACCCAGACCUCAGAAACUUGUCUGAAGCUGGAGGGGUGAGAGUGUUCCCUCUGAUGGCUGUGCUGAGUGGAUGUGCAAAGAAAUGCCUGCAUAGUAAGCAUUAACCUGCCCCUUCUUCCCUCUUGUCUACCUUAACCCCACGUCACUGACAUACUUCCUAAUUCCAUGGAGCAAGCAGAAACCCCUGGCUGAGAAUGGCCUCUUUUUCUUGGGACCACUCAUGUGACACCGUCUUGUCGUCCCCUGAGGUGGCCACAGGAGUCGGGGCUGGGCCAGCUGAAGCAGGAGCUAAGAACUCAGCCUGGGUCUCCCAGAGUGCAAGCUCUACGUGGACGAUUCUGCUUUCUCUUUUUCACCUCUCAUGGGAGUUAGCGUGUGGCCAAGUUCAUGGAGAACGUGCCCCGGGUAGCUGGUGGUCUGUGAAGCAAGUGAGGAGGCACUUGGGGCAGACGUGAACCCAACCCACAGUCUGUUGGGCGUGUCAUAGAUGCAGUAUGGAGCAUGGUAUGAGAGGGCCUCCAUCCUACGCUUGGAUCUGUGACUGAGGUUGUCGGGGCAGAAGGCACACACGCUUUCCACUCCACCAGGUAAUGCCGAAUGUUCUCCACAUUCAUUGUGUUCAUCCCGUGCCCUCUGCGGUGAGUGGGAGCCUGGGCCUCCCGUGGUGCCAUGAAGGACUCACACGGAUGUCCUUCUUGGUGGGUGGGUUGUGGAGUACCGCCGUGACCUGUUUCACACUUCAUUACUGCUGUGGCUUCUAUGUGGUCUGUCCACCGCGCAUUCAUGGAGGCCUGGUCCCCCGUGGGCCGUGCUGAAGCAGCGGAGCCUGUAAGAGGUGGGGCCUAGCUGAAGGUGCUUAGGGCUGGGAGAAAGAUCAGAGCUUUGUUCAAAGACUGCAUUCUCGUCCCCAUGGGCGCUUUCGCGAGAGUGAGCCUGGCCCUUGCGCAGUCCCUGACUUCCUGGGUCUGCACGCAGUCUCUUCCGUGUGCUCCCAGCACUGAGAUGCCCUCUGCCGUGAGGCCCUCUCCAGAGCUCGGCAGAUGCUGGCACCUGCCUCUGAGCCUCCAGGACUGUGAGCAAAGCAAACCCCUUUUCAUUAUAAAGCACCCAGCCUCAGGUGUCUUGUUACAGCAACACAGAAUGGACUAAGAAAACCAUGAAUGGUGGAAGCAUCCUUUUACUACGAUUGCAUAGUAUUUUUUGGUCAGAUAUCCAUUCAAAUAUUUUUGUUACUUUUUUAUUGGAUUUAUUAUCUUUGUUCAUUAAUUUGCAGGAUUUCUUAAAUAUUCCAAACCUUUGUUACAGGUGUUGCAAACACAUUUUUCCAUUUGUGGCUUUUGUUUUUAAACUUUAUGGUGUCUUAGUGAUAAACACAAUUCUGCUUUUUUUUUCUUCAUUUCAACAAAUAUUUUCUGAGCACCUAAUAUGGGUAGAAAUAUUUUUGGCAUCAGGGAUAAAUGAGUAAGCAAAAUGGACCCAUCCCCUGCCCUCAGAAAUUCUGUAUUCUAGUAGGAUAAGACAAGCAAUAAAAAUAAGUAAAACUAAGGAAAAGAGUUUGAAAUCCAUGCUACAAGGCGUCUUCAAAAGUUCAUAGGCAAAAUAUAUAUGAAAAAAUUAUGGGGCUGGCAUUGUGGCACAGUGGGUCAGGAUGCUGCCCGUGAUGCCAGCAUCCCAUCUGGGUGCCAGUUUGAGUCCCGGCUGCUCCACUUUCAAUUCAGCUCCCUGCUAAUACACCUGGGAAAGCAGUGGAGGAUGGGCCCAAGUGUUUGGGCCCCUACACCCAAUGGGAGACCCAAAUGAAGCUCCUGGCUCCUGGCUUCGACCUGGCCAAGCCCUGGCUAUUGUUGCCAUUUAGGGAGUGAACCAGUGGAUGGAAGAUCUUGUCUCUGCCUCUAUCUCUGUAACUCUGCCUUUCAAAUAAAUAAAUAAAUCUUUUAAAAAGAAAGAAAAAAAUAUGCAUGCAUUUAAAAAUUUUUACCCCAAAAUAAGUGCAUCAUUUUUUGGAGGAUAUUAUCAUGAGCUUUGCCCAAACUCUUUUUAAAAAUUAAGUAAUCAAAGGCCAGCACUGUGGUGCAGCAGGUAAAUCCACCGCUUGCAGUGCCGGCAUCCCAUAUGGGCGCCAGUUCGAGACCCGGCUGCUCCACUUCCAAUCCAGCUCUGCUGUAGCCUGGGAAAGCAGUAGAGGAUGGCCCAACUGCUUGGGCCCCUAUACCAGUGUGGGAGACCCGGAAGAAGCUGCUGGUUCCUGCCUUCAAAUCAGUGAAGCUCUGGCUGUUACAGCCAUCUAGGGAGUGAACCAGCAGAUGGAAGACCCCUCUCUCUCUCUGCCUCUGCCUCUCUGUACCUCUCUUUUUCAAAUAAAUUAAUUAUAUCUUUAAAAAAUUUAUUUUCACUUCAUUUGAAAGGCAGAGAUCAAUAGAGACGGAUCCAUCUGCUGAUUCAUUCCCCAAAUGUCUGCGACAGCCUGGCUGGGCCAGUCUGAAAUCAGGGGCUGGGAACUGCAUCCAGGUCUCCCGCGUGGGUGGCAGGGGCCCAAGCACAUUGGCCGUCACCUCCCUGAACGUGCAUUUGCUGAGUGCUGGUUGGAACCGGACACUCACCUGUGGGAUGCCAGCAACCCCAGCAGUGCCGUAACCACUGCCCCAAAUGAGUACCUCAAAACUCCUCUCCUCUCUUCCGCAGGCUUGUCGUAGUCCUCUCAAAGGGCUGAGAUUUUCAGUCUAGGAAGUUGCAACAGUGGCACUAGUGUGAAACAUAGCCUUGGCAGUUCUUAAUAAAAUGCGAUUUUCACAUUUUCUUCGUGUGAACAAUUUCUAAGCUUCUAGCUAUAUAGACUUGUAGCUUACAUGGUUUAGCUAAAUCAUUUUGAUUUUUCUUGUUUAAAGCCUCUUUGUGUCCCCCCCCUUAAUUGUUUGAUGAAAAAACUGUGUGCUCAUUCAUUGACUUUUUUUUUUUUUUAUUUUUUGACAGGCAGAGU